Molecule: ribosomal RNA, 176 nt
Filed under: Rickettsiales bacterium
Lineage: Bacteria; Pseudomonadati; Pseudomonadota; Alphaproteobacteria; Rickettsiales
Description: partial 23S ribosomal RNA
Rfam family: Bacterial large subunit ribosomal RNA
Source: RNAcentral
UAGCGGAAUACCCUGGCCGUUAAAUGCGGUCUUGCAUGAAUGAUUUCACGAUACAACAGCUGUCUCAAUGAUUGGCUCAGUGAAAUUAUAAUAGCAGUGCAGAUACUGCUUACCUCUAGGUAGACGAGAAGACCCUAUGCAGCUUUACUGUUGCUAAUUAUUGGAUAUGAUUUAAC